RNAcentral lists this transfer RNA (89 nucleotides) under Candidatus Margulisiibacteriota bacterium. RNAcentral describes it as "tRNA-Leu". It matches the Rfam family "tRNA". From Rfam's summary of the family: Transfer RNA (tRNA) molecules are approximately 80 nucleotides in length. Their secondary structure includes four short double-helical elements and three loops (D, anti-codon, and T loops). The record is from RNAcentral. Lineage: Bacteria; Bacillati; Candidatus Margulisiibacteriota.
GCCGAGGUGGUGGAAUUGGUAGACACGCUAGCUUGAGGGGCUAGUGGGCGUUCAUGCCCGUGCAGGUUCAAGUCCUGUUCUCGGCACCA